AACGCACAUUGCACUCUCUGGUAUUCCGGAGAGUAUGCUUGUUUGAGUACCUGUAAACAUCUCAAAUCUCCCAGCGCUUGCGCAAAAGAGAAUUGGAUUUGAGCGAUCCCGACUCCUUCGUCAGAAAGAGGAGGGCCGCUUGAAAUGCAGGUGCAGCUGGACAUUCUUCUGAGCUAAAAGCAUAUCUAUUUAGUCCCUUCAAACGGAUUAUUACUUUUGCUUCAGCUAAUAUAAAGGUCGAAUGAACAACCAACGCUGAUUGCAGGAAAACUCGUUCUUAACCGAACUUGUAAACUCGAUCUCAAAUCAAGUAAGACUACCCGCUGAACUUAA
RNAcentral lists this unclassified non-coding RNA (333 nucleotides) under Bjerkandera sp. Its description in RNAcentral is "partial contains 5.8S ribosomal RNA, internal transcribed spacer 2, and large subunit ribosomal RNA". The record is from RNAcentral. Lineage: Eukaryota; Fungi; Basidiomycota; Agaricomycetes; Polyporales; Phanerochaetaceae.